Long non-coding RNA from Ipomoea triloba (trilobed morning glory), 432 nucleotides. RefSeq lists it as uncharacterized. Lineage: Eukaryota; Viridiplantae; Streptophyta; Magnoliopsida; Solanales; Convolvulaceae. The record is from RefSeq and is a predicted model, not a curated record. The transcript has 3 exons.
AUUCUUGAAAAUGAUUUUGUAGUUUAAUUUUUGUCACAUUUUUUCUCCCAAAAGAUUGAAUCCUAAAUUUCAAAGGCCCCACACCCGAUCCGACGGAGCAUUUUGGAAGGGUGCAAAUCACGGUAGCAGACAUGACUAAAUGCCGCUUUGAAGGGAUGGUCAAGUGAGUGGAGCAUAAUUUUCAUACUUGAAAGGUUACGAGUUCAAUUCAAUUAUUGUCAACACCUUUCCUGUACUCAAGUCCGUUACACACGAUGUUUUUGAAGAGGCACGUACUACAUGUCUCUGUUGGUCAGUUGAAUCAUCAUGAUUUACCCUUCUAUAAAGUGUUGAUUCGAAGUGUGGUGAUGCUGAAGUGCGCGAUUCCACCUUAAUUAUGUCAAAAAAUUACUCAAGUGUAGUGAUGCCUGAAGUUUAAUAAAUAUGCUAUUA